RNAcentral lists this ribosomal RNA (465 nucleotides) under uncultured bacterium. RNAcentral describes it as "bacterial SSU rRNA". It matches the Rfam family "Bacterial small subunit ribosomal RNA", at positions 28 to 491 of the family's 1533-position model. The record is from RNAcentral.
GAUGAACGCUGGCGGCGUGCUUAAUGCAUGCAAGUCGAACGAAGCACCUUGGACAGAAUCCUUCGGGAGGAAGACCAUUGUGACUGAGUGGCGGACGGGUGAGUAACGCGUGGGUAACCUGCCUUGUACAGGGGGAUAACAGUUGGAAACGACUGCUAAUACCGCAUAAGCGCACAGUACCGCAUGGUACGGUGUGAAAAACUCCGGUGGUACAAGAUGGACCCGCGUCUGAUUAGCUGGUUGGUGAGGUAACGGCCCACCAAGGCGACGAUCAGUAGCCGACUUGAGAGAGUGAUCGGCCACAUUGGGACUGAGACACGGCCCAAACUCCUACGGGAGGCAGCAGUAGGGAAUAUUGCACAAUGGGGGAAACCCUGAUGCAGCGACGCCGCGUGAAGGAAGAAGUAUUUCGGUAUGUAAACUUCUAUCAGCAAGGAAGAAAAUGACGGUACUUGACUAAGAAGC